RNAcentral lists this ribosomal RNA (433 nucleotides) under uncultured bacterium. RNAcentral's name for it is "partial 16S ribosomal RNA". It matches the Rfam family "Bacterial small subunit ribosomal RNA", at positions 29 to 507 of the family's 1533-position model. The record is from RNAcentral.
AGCGAACGCUGGCGGCAGGCCUAACACAUGCAAGUCGAACGGACCUUUCGGGGUUAGUGGCGGACGGGUGAGUAACACGUGGGAACGUGCCUUUAGGUUCGGAAUAGCUCCUGGAAACGGGUGGUAAUGCCGAAUGUGCCCUUCGGGGGAAAGAUUUAUCGCCUUUAGAGCGGCCCGCGUCUGAUUAGCUAGUUGGUUGAGGUAACGGCUCACCAAGGCGACGAUCAGUAGCUGGUCUGAGAGGAUGGCCAGCCACAUUGGGACUGAGACACGGCCCAAACUCCUACGGGAGGCAGCAGUGGGGAAUCUUGCGCAAUGGGCGAAAGCCUGACGCAGCCAUGCCGCGUGAAUGAUGAAGGUCUUAGGAUUGUAAAUUCUUUCACCGGGGACGAUAAUGACGGUACCCGGAGAAGAAGCCCCGGCUAACUUCGUG